RNAcentral lists this transfer RNA (72 nucleotides) under Thermothielavioides terrestris NRRL 8126. RNAcentral's name for it is "tRNA-Arg (TCG) (tRNA-Arg-TCG-1-1)". It matches the Rfam family "tRNA". Rfam says of the family: Transfer RNA (tRNA) molecules are approximately 80 nucleotides in length. The record is from RNAcentral. Lineage: Eukaryota; Fungi; Ascomycota; Sordariomycetes; Sordariales; Chaetomiaceae.
GGACUCGUAGCGCAAUGGUAGCGCGUCAGUUUUCGGCACUGAAGGUUGCAGGUUCGAGCCCUGCCGAGUUCG